UUACACAUUUUCCACUUGCAAUCCAACCUGGACUUGGGGAAGUACAUUUACGUAUAGCUUUCUGCAUUAAAGCACGAAAAAGAAAUGAAAAGUUUCAAAGUCAUUGUUUUUCUGUUUUUCAGCUUAUAUUUGAAAGGUUGUAUGCCAGGAGCCACAAACAAUGCGACUACAACUGUUGCAACAAACCAUUCAGUUUCAUCAUUAACAAGUGGCAAGCCAAUUUCAGGAGGUGUGACGACCAUACAAACUACAACUGAAGUGUCAAACAGCUCUUCAGCGACAAAUACGUCCACUAUUACAACAUCUGCAGGAAGUGAAAACUUCACAUCUGAAGUAACAAUCUCUGACAGGACUGAAACAACAGUUAAUACAAGCACUGGUGAUAAUUCAACAUCUUUCCCUGUGACUUCCAAUGGAUUGUAUUCUACUAUAUACAGUAUGUAUUCUACUACUACAACAUCCAGCAGCAAGGAAUCACUAGGUCCUACCCCUACUCCUACUACAAGUGGAACCAGCUCUUUGUCUGUACUAGCCUUUGCUGUGAUUAUCCUGAUCUUAAUCCUUGUAAUAGUUGUGGUGAUCCUCGUCAGUGUCAUCAGCCUGAGGUUUAAAUGCGGUGAUUGCCAGGAAGCACCACAAGAUACAAGUAAGACCCGGAAUGAAGCACCAUCAGAAAGCUCUCAAGUUAAUGGAGAAAAAGAAAGCAUCACUUUGGUUUCUAUGCGAAGUCUAUAUACGGAAGCUGGAGGACAGGAAUCAUCGAUGCAGGGAAAUCUUCAAAAUGACUCCAAUGAAGUUGAUGAGACAAGAAACAAUGUCAUCAAAUAGGUGAUACAAAGCUGGUGUAGAGGAGCAGCAGAAGUCAACGCGUAGAUAUGUACAAAAUACAGGAGCAUGCAACAUGGAAAGCUUUGUUUUCAUCUUACCCAGUAGGACAGGUUAUACAAGUCACUUGUAAUAAAGCAACUUCUGGAAACAUUCUCAUGUGAAAUCACAGACUGUUUUUCUGGGUGCAACUUUGACUAAAAUAAAUUUACAAUGAUCAUUUUGUCAUUA
RNA transcript from Amblyraja radiata (thorny skate), 1056 nucleotides. It is a transcript of the gene named endothelial cell-specific chemotaxis regulator, with no coding region annotated. The record is from RefSeq and is a predicted model, not a curated record. The transcript has 11 exons. Lineage: Eukaryota; Metazoa; Chordata; Chondrichthyes; Rajiformes; Rajidae.